CGCGUAUGCAACCUACCUGUCACAGGGGGAUAGGCUGUGGAAACACGGAUUAAUACCCCAUGGUACUACGAUUUCGGAUGUGAUUGUAGUUAAAGCCAGCAAUGGUGGUGACAGCUGGGCAUGCGUCUGAUUAGCUAGUUGGUGAGGUAACGGCUCACCAAGGCGACGAUCAGUAGGGGUUCUGAGAGGAUGAUCCCCCACACUGGAACUGAGACACGGUCCAG
This 224-nucleotide ribosomal RNA is filed under the name uncultured bacterium. RNAcentral describes it as "partial 16S ribosomal RNA". It matches the Rfam family "Bacterial small subunit ribosomal RNA", at positions 114 to 334 of the family's 1533-position model. The record is from RNAcentral.